AGGGGCUUCGGACUUGUGGAGAGCCUACUGGGACAUGAAAGAAGCCAAUUACCAAAAUUCAGGCAGAUACUUUCGUGCUCGAGGGAACUACGAGGCUGCCCAAAGGGGCCCCGGGGGCAUCUGGGCAGCAAAAAUCAUCAGCAAUGUCGGGGAAUACUUUCAAGGACUCUUACAGUACCUUGGAAGCAGCUCUGAGAGGGAGGAGGACCAGGUGUCCAACCGGAGAGCGGAGGAAUGGGGCCGGAGUGGACAAGACCCAGAUCACUUCAGACCUGCUGGCCUGCCUAAGAAAUACUGAGCCCCCGGCUCCCUCUGCUCCAUGGGACUAGGCUAUGAGCCACACAUCACUCCCCUCACCGCCCCCAACAGGACACAGUGCACUGAGCUUUGUCUCCCCAAGAUUUGAGACAGGGCAUCCUAAGGUCCCCAAUAAAUGUUGGUCACACUGAGUUUGUUGAUGGAAUCUGGAAUCUUUGAGAUGGACUCUCUGGGAAGAAUGGCCACCUGGUGUCACAUGGAGGAGAAAGGCACUGUGGCUGAUGAGGCUUGCAGGAGCUCCCAGGUGACCUGUACUCAUGUCCUGUCUUCACAUGACCCCACUGAGCCUCUCUUGUUGUAGGGGCCCCAGUUUCUCCUCCUGAGUAAUCCCGAGCUGGCAAAGCAUUGGCCAUCAUGCUGGGCUCUCCUAUCGCUGGAGGCUUGGCUCUGGCACAAGCCCUGGACAACCCUGCCCCCACUUCUUCCUCUGGUCAUGUUGACACCUCCUCAGUUAUUUGGCUGCUGUUUCAGGCCUCUCUGUGUCCAGACUGUCCACUGCCCAGUCUGUUGCAUCCUGAAUCCAUCUGGCUCCAGGCCUUGUUCAGGGGGACCUUGAGAAGAUACAUUGCUUUAGGAAUCUUAAUCCCUGGAUACUUGUUCUGGAAACUGGCAAAAUGGACAGAAUAGGCAGUGAAACAACCGAGUCCAGUUAUUUCUCAUCAACACCAACCCCCAAUUCAACUGUUAACCAGUCUUGGCUCAUUUUACCUAUGUUAUAGUUCUCAUGGUAGUUUUCCUUAUCUUUAUUCUCACUAUAACGUAUUCCAUUCUAGAGGAGAAGUCAGAUAUAUAGAUAGACACAAUAAGGUUUAGGAGGUCCCACCAUGGCUCAGCGGUAAAGAACCUGACUAGUAUCCAUGAGGACGAAGGUUCAAUCCCUGGUCUCGCUCAGUGGGUUAAGGAUCCAGCGUUGCCGUUGUUGUGAGCUGUGAUGUAGCUCGAAGACGUGGCUCAUAUCCUGUGGCAGUAGCCGACGGCUAUAGCUCUCUGAUUCAACCCCUAGCCUGUAACUUCCAUAUGCCAUGAGUGUGGCCCUAAACACACACACACACACACACACACACACACACACACACACGCACAAAUUUAAUAAGAGCCUCCACAGAAGCACACACUGCUGGCAAUCCAAACUCUGCGGGAGUGCAGGAGGCUGAAGAGCAGUGAUUAUAGUAGCUGCUGUGGGAGUUUCCUAGUAGUCUAAUUAUUAUGACUCGGUGUUUUCAGUGUCCUCUUGACAUCUCUGAUUGGAUGGCUUCCAUAGAACACAAACUUAGUGUGUCCCAAGGUGAACUCCCAGUUCCCUCCAGAACCCUUCAACCCAGGCUCCUCCAUUGCAGUAAAUGACACGACGGUUCUCUCGGCCGCUCACCCCACCCACCGAGGGGCACGCUUGGGCUUCCCUUCCCUUUAUCCCACCUCCCACCCACUAGCAAGUCCUGUGAUUCUACUCCCAAAAUUCACCUCUAGUCCGGCAGCCUGGUCUCACGGGCACCUCCAUGCUCCUGGCCAUGCCCUGCCUCACCUGGGCUCCUGCAGCAGCUGUCUAACUCGUCUCCCCAUUUUCAUGGCUCCCCCUCAGCUUCAGUUGACUAUAUAAUUCAUCAUCCAAACCAAGUCACUGUCCCUUGUGAAAAGGCAAAUUAUUAAUUAUACCUGGGUGACAGGAGUAAACGGACUGUUCUGGACAAAACAGAGCAUAUAGUUACCCUCCCUCUCAGUCUAGCACAUAAACUAUACUUAAAUCAUGUGUCCCCCACUUCAGAUCCUUCAGUGGAUUCCCAUUUUCCCCUAGAAUAUAAUCCAGGUUCUUGUCUUGGCCUACAAAGUUCAAUACAGCUGUUCCUGGCUGUCCUUUACAUCAUCUCAUGCCACAGCCUGCCAAGCUCCCCAUUGUCCAGUCUUGCCAACAAGCCAAAUUCUUUUCUUUCCUUUUUUUAAUAUUGUAGGGCCACACCCGUGGCCUAUGGAGGUUCCCAGGCUGGGGUUGAAUCGGAGUUGUAGCUGCCGCCCUAUGCCACAGCCACAGCAAUGUGGGAUCCGAGCCUCGUCUGGGACCUACACCACAGCUCACGGCAACGCCAGAUCCCUAACUCACUGAUGGAGGCCAGGGAUCAAACCCGCAUCCUUAUGGAUCUGAGUCAAGUUCGUUAACCACUGAGCCAUGAAGGGAACUCCCAACAAGCCAAAUUCUUUAUUAUUAUUAUUAUUUUUAUAGCAUUUUUAAAAUUACUCAAUUACAUGUAUAGUUGUGCAAUGAUCACCACAACCCAAUUUUAUAGCAUUUCUAUCCCAAACCCCAGCACAUCCCCCAACCCCCAAGCCAUCUCAUUCAGAAACUGUAAAUUUUUGAAAGUCUGAGUCAGUAUCUGUUCUGCACAGAAGUUCAUUGUGUCCUUUUUUUUAGAUUACACAUGUCAGUGAUAGCAUUUGAUGUUGGUGUCUCACUGUCUGACUAACUUCCUUAGCAUGAUAAUUUCUAGGUCCGUCCAUGUUGCUGCAAAUGCCAUUAUUUCUUUCCUUUUAAUGGCUGAGUAAUAUUCCAUUGUGUAUAUGUACCACAUCUUCUUUAUCCACUUCUCUGUCAAUGGACAUUUAGGUUGUUCCAUGUCUUGGCUACUGUAUAUGGUGCUGCAAUGAACAUUGGAGUACGUGUUUCUUUUCGAGUCAUGGUUUUCUCUGGAUAGAUGCCCACCAACAAGCCAAAUUCUUAUUUGUCACAGGUCCUUUGCACAUGACAUUUUCUCUACCCAGAACACUAAUCUGCCUACUCUUCAUGUGGCUGGGCAUCUCUUACCUGUGGGGCUCUUCUGAAAUCACUCUAUUGAUAGAUGCCUUCCUGAUCAUCCUGACUGGCCCAUGUGGUUAUUCUUUCCUUUUUUUUUUAACCAAGUUUCUUUCUUUCCCCCCUUUUUUUUUUUUUUUUUAUUUUUUUGCCUUUUUUAGGGCCAAACCCACAGCAAAUGAAGGUUCCCAGGCUAGGGGUCUAAUUGGAGCUGUAGCGACCAGCCUACACCAGAGCCACAGCAACGUGGGAUUCGAGCCGCAUCUGCCACCUACAGCACAGCUCACAGCAACGCCAGAUCCUUAACCCCCUGAGCAAGGCCAGGGAUCAAACCUGUGUCCUCAUGGACGCUAAUCGGGUUCGUUAAUCACUGAGCCAUGACGGGAACUCCCUUAACCAGGUUUCAAUAUGUGGGAUUCUUUUACUAAUUUUCUGGUUUAUUCUUAUUUUUGUUUGGAAUUUAUUUUGGACCAUCUUCUGCUCCGUAUUAUAAAAUUGGUAAGAGAGGUGAGCUUCUCUCUCUUGUUUAUACCUGAAUAUCCCGUACCUGGCGUAUUAUGGGAUGUCAAGAAUGUUUAUUGAAAAUGAAUAAUUGCAUUAAUUUGUUAUUUUACUAAUAAAAAGGUUUUUUUCUCCCCACAGAAGAUCUGUCUAGUUAGAAGGACAGGAAGGAGCUAAUGAAGAGGGAGACACUAACAAUAAAGAAGAAGGAAUAAUACGGGAAUCAAAGGGAAGCAAGAAGCAGGAGAUCAAAGCUAUAAAGGAUGCUUAACCUCAAGGGAAGCAGAAAAGUAAAAUAUGAAGGAAAUGGGUUCAGGGGACACAGCACCUUUGAGGUGGAGGCCCUAGAACCUGCAAGAACUCAGUUGUACCUGCUAUUGUGCAUGACUGUCCCUAUGUCUCAUCACACGCCUCUGUGUUUGCCCAUUUUCUUGUCUGGCUUUAGAGCAAGUAGGUAGGAAACUCAAGGCCAAAGGCACGUCUCUUUUAUUGUAUGCUAUCUUUGUAUGUCAGCCACAGUGCCUCACAAAUAGUUGCUUUAGACAUAUUUGUUGAGAUGGAUGAAUGAAAUCUGAGAAGAGGUAUUGGGGAGAAGUGGACAGAACCUGGAGGAGGGUUUGGGAGUUGUAGAAAGUACAGAUGUGGCUUGGAUCUGCAGAAUGUACUGAUGAGUCACUUUGAGGUAACUGCUUUAUCUACACCUAUGUCACCCUAAGGGACCAACCAAAAUGAAAUAAUUUUACUUUCUCGUAGAAAACGUUUAGUUUUCUGUACCAAUGCUUUGUGCACUCUCUCAUAGAAAUGAAAAUUAAGAUGGAACUGGCCCUUUAUUGUGUCAAAUUUAACUUCAAAUUUUAUGAGUUUUCCUUUGUUUUAUAUAGUGAAAUAUUAUUGUUCUAUUCUCCUGCUCUGACCGUUUUUGGCUGUGUGACCUUGAAUAUAUUACUAAACCUCUCUGAAAAAAAAAAAGAAAUGAAAAUUAGGAACCCCAUGUGUAAAUAAACUAUUAGUUAUUAUGGUAUCUAAUGAGAAACCUUGGGAGAAAGGAAUAAAUAUUUUGAAUUUCCAAAA
This 4672-nucleotide long non-coding RNA is filed under the name Sus scrofa (pig). RNAcentral's name for it is "lncRNA (ENSSSCG00045018820.1)". Lineage: Eukaryota; Metazoa; Chordata; Mammalia; Artiodactyla; Suidae. The record is from RNAcentral.